GAGUUUGAUCAUGGCUCACCCUUGAACGCUGGCGGCAGGCCUAACACAUGCAAGUCGAGCNGAAACGGCAACAUUGACUCUUCGGAUGAUUUGUUGGACGUCGAGCGGCGGACGGGUGAGUAAUGCUUAGGAAUUUGCCCAGUCGAGGGGGAUAACUAUUGGAAACGAUAGCUAAUACCGCAUACGCCCUACGGGGGAAAGAGGGGGACCUUCGGGCCUCUUGCGAUUGGAUAAGCCUAAGUGAGAUUAGCUAGUUGGUGAGGUAAGAGCUCACCAAGGCGACGAUCUCUAGCUGGUCUGAGAGGAUGAUCAGCCACACUGGGACUGAGACACGGCCCAGACUCCUACGGGAGGCAGCAGUGGGGAAUAUUGCACAAUGGGGGAAACCCUGAUGCAGCCAUGCCGCGUGUGUGAAGAAGGCCUUCGGGUUGUAAAGCACUUUCAGCAGUGAGGAAGAUGUGUAGAUUAAUACUCUGCACAUUUGACGUUAGCUGCAGAAGAAGCACCGGCUAACUCCGUGCCAGCAGCCGCGGUAAUACGGAGGGUGCGAGCGUUAAUCGGAAUUACUGGGCGUAAAGCGCAUGCAGGUGGUUUGUUAAGUCAGAUGUGAAAGCCCGGGGCUCAACCUCGGAAGGUCAUUUGAAACUGGCAAGCUAGAGUACUGUAGAGGGGGGUAGAAUUUCAGGUGUAGCGGUGAAAUGCGUAGAGAUCUGAAGGAAUACCGGUGGCGAAGGCGGCCCCCUGGACAGAUACUGACACUCAGAUGCGAAAGCGUGGGGAGCAAACAGGAUUUGAUACCCUGGUAGUCCAC
Molecule: ribosomal RNA, 811 nt
Filed under: uncultured bacterium
Lineage: Bacteria
Description: bacterial SSU rRNA
Rfam family: Bacterial small subunit ribosomal RNA
Source: RNAcentral